GGUGGGGUGCUCCGAAUGGUAAGGAACCAGUCUUGAAAACUGGCGCCCGCAAGGGCUUGCAGGUUCGAGUCCUGUCCCCACCGC
RNAcentral lists this transfer RNA (84 nucleotides) under Microgenomates group bacterium ADurb.Bin238. Its description in RNAcentral is "tRNA-Ser". It matches the Rfam family "tRNA". From Rfam's summary of the family: Transfer RNA (tRNA) molecules are approximately 80 nucleotides in length. The record is from RNAcentral.